GACGAACGCUGGCGGCGUGCUUAAUACAUGCAAGUCGAACGGAAAGGCCCUGCUUUUGUGGGGUGCUCGAGUGGCGAACGGGUGAGUAACACGUGAGUAACCUGCACUUGACUUUGGGAUAACUUCAGGAAACUGGGGCGAAUACAGGAUAGGAGCUCCUGAUGCAUGGUGGGGGUUGGAAAGUUUCGGCGGUUGGGGAUGGACUCGCGGCUUAUCAGCUUGUUGGUGGGGUAGUGGCUUACCAAGGCUUUGACGGGUAGCCGGCCUGAGAGGGUGACCGGCCACAUUGGGACUGAGAUACGGCCCAGACUCCUACGGGAGGCAGCAGUGGGGAAUAUUGCACAAUGGGCGGAAGCCUGAUGCAGCAACGCCGCGUGCGGGAUGACGGCCUUCGGGUUGUAAACCGCUUUCGCCUGUGACGAAGCGUGAGUGACGGUAAUGGGUAAAGAAGCACCGGCUAACUACGUG
Molecule: ribosomal RNA, 468 nt
Filed under: uncultured bacterium
Lineage: Bacteria
Description: partial 16S ribosomal RNA
Rfam family: Bacterial small subunit ribosomal RNA
Source: RNAcentral